RNAcentral lists this transfer RNA (74 nucleotides) under Candidatus Heimdallarchaeota archaeon. RNAcentral's name for it is "tRNA-Trp". It matches the Rfam family "tRNA". From Rfam's summary of the family: Transfer RNA (tRNA) molecules are approximately 80 nucleotides in length. Their secondary structure includes four short double-helical elements and three loops (D, anti-codon, and T loops). Lineage: Archaea; Promethearchaeati; Candidatus Heimdallarchaeota. The record is from RNAcentral. RNAcentral also lists the same sequence under 2 other names.
GGGUCUGUAGCGUAAUCCGGCAACGCGACUGGCUCCAGACCAGUAGAUUGCGGGUUCAAAUCCCGUCAGGCCCA